ACUCCUACGGGAGGCAGCAGUGGGGAAUAUUGGACAAUGGGGCAACCCGUGAUCCAGCCAUGCCGCGUGUGUGAAGAAGGCCUUCGGGUUGUAAAGCACUUUCAGCGAGGAGGAAAGGUUAAGUGUUAAUAGCACUUAGCUGUGACGUUACUCGCAGAAGAAGCACCGGCUAACUCCGUGCCAGCAGCCGCGGUAAUACGGAGGGUGCAAGCGUUAAUCGGAAUUACUGGGCGUAAAGCGCGCGUAGGUUGUUUGUUAAGCGAGAUGUGAAAG
Molecule: ribosomal RNA, 273 nt
Filed under: uncultured bacterium
Lineage: Bacteria
Description: partial 16S ribosomal RNA
Rfam family: Bacterial small subunit ribosomal RNA
Source: RNAcentral